This 2885-nucleotide long non-coding RNA is filed under the name Mytilus galloprovincialis (Mediterranean mussel). The record is from RNAcentral. Lineage: Eukaryota; Metazoa; Mollusca; Bivalvia; Mytilida; Mytilidae.
GAUUAAAAAGAGGACGACAUUGAUAGAAACUAAACAAGUAUAAAUAAUGAAAUAUCAUAAACAAUUAACAAUAAUUAAAGCUAUAUUCUUUAGUAUUUAUAAAUAAAAGUUUUAUUUUGAAUUAAGUAUCAAGUGGCUAUGCCAAUAGGUGCUUCCUGAGUUUUGUUAACAUGCUACUGUGGAGCAAUUUAAAUUAUAUUGUACUCUAUGCAAUACAUAAUAGUUGGUCAAAGAAUUAUUUGACAUCAUCUGAGGGUAUUUUGUGGAAUUAACAUAGGUCAUGGGACAUUCCAGUGCACUGCAUAAAGAAAUUAUGGUCUUUACAGACCAAGACUUUGGGUAGCACAUUUUUAUCUGUAAAUCGUUAAAGAUUCAUUUGAAAGUAUAUUAAUCAUAUACCAUUCGAUUUGCUUAGUCAUUUUUCUCCACAAAUAUAUAAAUAUAUUAUUUGCAUAAAACAAGUUGACAAGUAUAUGUUCACCGAACGAAAUGAUAUUUUCCCAAUCAUUUGGAAACUUUUUCAAAGUUAAAUUAAGCUUUUCAAAAUCGAGCUUUUGUUUAAGAUUUGAGAUAUUAGUACAUGAAUACAAUACCAUAUUCUGACAAAAGGAAUAGAAUGGUACAAGGUUUAUAUACUUUGAAAUUAACUUUUACAAUUUAGUAAUAGAAAUAGGUCGCUCCAAAUCUAGAUCAGCAAUUUAAAUGUUUUCUGGAUGUGGUGCCCUAUGACAUCCCUAGGCCCAAGCAAGUCCCUAAAAAGGCUGCCAGGAGUCAGACAAUUCUCAGACUGUGGGGAAGCGGUCUGUAAAAUGAAUAGCAGGACAGAUUCACUCUAAAAUUUAGGAUAUAAUUUGGAGGAAAACAUUAACAUAAACAGAUUAAAAAGCAUAAAUGUAAAAAAGAAGAUGGAGUAUGAUUGCCAAUGAGACAACACUCAACAAGAGACCAAAUGACACAGAAAUUAACAACUAUAGGUCACUGUACUCUUUUUUUGUUGAAAGAAAGUGAUAUAUCGAAAUUAAAAAAAAAAUAACUAUUAUAAUAAGUAUAUAAAAAAAUAGUCAUAAAAUGAAUUUAUGACCAAUUAAUAGAAUCUCAAAAAGGGAAUAACCAAUAACAUUAUUGAUGUAGCACAUAGUUAUGUUGAUUUUUACUAAAUUGUGUAUUUUGAAAAUCUAUUUUCUAAUGAAAUUUUGAGACAAUAUACAAAUGAUAUUUGUUAUAUUAAUGAAGCUUUUGAAAAAAAAUUACAAGUUGGAAAUUACAUAUUUUUCACAAUCAAUGAAUAUAAUUAACUAUCGUUGUUGAAUACAUUUUUUAGACAACACAAUUACACUUUAUAUUAUUAAAGGGGCACUAGCUACAAAAUGAUGUUCACCGAUUUGACUCAAAUUCUCAUAUUAGAUUUAUAACAUUAUUAAACACAUAUCCAACUUAUAAUAAGUCUUAUAUGAAGAGUAAACAUUGCAUAUACUAGAUAAUAUAUAUAAGAUUUUCUCGUGUAUUUUAGACUAUACGUAAUCUAAUUACUAUCGAGAUGACUCCGAAAACUACCGACGGUGACAUAACACGAUACAAACGUAAACAAAAAUAUAAAUAUUCAUGGUCUUCGCGUAAAUGGAUUUUUCUAUGUCCAUUUGAUUUCAUGUUUAAGGUUAAAAAUAAGUUCAUUUUCGAUUUUACCGGUAUAAGAAUUAUUUUGUGGAUCGAAUCAGUCAAUCAAAUGAUUUACCGUUGUGUCACUUUCAAUAUUGACAUUCUUUUAUUAAUAGAACACGCAUCAAUCAUGUGUAAUCUAUCUCUAGCUAGGGGGUUAGAUUUAAGUUCACAUGAAUACGGAUUCAAAGAGGUAGAAUCAUUCACUUGCAAGUGAAUAAUUCAUCAUCGAUGUUUCUUAGCUUAUUUUGACAAAAUUGAACCAAACUGGCUGCUACACUUUCAUUUAUGAUUGAAGAAAACAAAUCAGAAUUUUAAUUGUUUAUGUAUCUCGAAGCUAGUGACACUUUAAGAGGUAAAUUAGUAUAAAAUCACCAUAAUAUAAAUGAAAAGCAAUUAAUUUUCACUUGAUGUUCAAAACUUAAGACAAUCCCGUAUUUCACAAAUUCCCAACACAUACAUUUAAAAUAUUUAAUAUUAAAACAUGAUUAUUUUAAAGUUUGUCUUACAAAUGAUUUUAACAUCAGAUGUCAAUGAAAAUUAUUUCUUUUAUCAUUUGUAUCAUAAUAGAUAAUGACAUUGGAUGUCCAUAUCAGCCCUAAAAUAUCAGCCAGAGACCCUCAUAUCGAAACGAGGGUUUAAAUUGAAUGUCUAGGGAAGAUAUGUUCGCUGACAUGGACGUAAGCAUGUAUCUGUCACAUAUUUAGCCUGCACAAUCUGAACGAGAAAUAGAAUAAACGAUUGGAAAACAGAUAUUUUUGUUUAUUAAGUUUGUUUGCAUUCAAUUUGUUUUUGAUUGUUCGUUCUAGUAUGUAAUUUCCAACUUGUAAUUUUUUUCUGCAUUUUUAAUGAUCCCUUGAUAAUUUUAAUAACCACGCGUUGUCUGCACCUAUAAUCGACACACACUUCUCGUUCAAACAUUUGAAAUUGAUUGUCCCUUCGGUAUUUUUGCCUCUCAUUCGUUUCAAGCAAUGAUGUCAUAAAAUAGAGUAAAAAAAAAAAAUUAAAGCUGAGUUUAUCCAGUUUAACACACCAUUGGUAAACCAGUUCUAUAAACGGCACAUUUACACUUUUAUCAAACAAGUCUGGCAAACUAUACAUUGCCGAUGUGGAUUUUGAACACAAGGGGCUCUCUUCUGGUUCAAACCAAUUAUUUCCCUCGGUCUGAAAUAUAACUAAGCAUAUCAACUUUUAUUACACACAAAAAUGUUGUAACAAAUACGUGAUAG